GCUGAUCCUGCUGGAGGGUACUGCUAUUGGAAUUCGACUAAGACAUGCAAGUCAAAGCGUCACUUAGAUGAUGCUUGGCGUACGGCUCAGUAACGCGUAGUCAACCUACCUUUUGGAGGAGGCAAUCCCGGGAAACUGGGUGUAAUUCUCCGUAAGUGAAAGAAACUGGAAUGUUCUCUCGCUGAUAAGAAAGUGGCUAAUAAGCUAUUAUCGCCGAAAGAUGGGACUGCGUCGUAUUAGGUAGUUGGCGGGGUAAUUGCCCACCAAGCCUAAGAUGCGUACAGGCCUUGGGAGAGGCGGCCUGGAGAAGGGCACUGAGAUAAGGGCCCUAGCCCUACGGGGUGCAGCAGUUACGAAACCUUUACAAUGCGCGAAAGCGUGAUAGGGGGAUUCCGAGUGCCAGCACUUAGUGUUGGCUUUUGCCAGGUGAAAAUAGCUUGGCGAAUAAGCGGGGGGUAAGACACGUGCCAGCCGCCGCGGUAAUACGUGCCCCGCAAGUGGUACCCGUGAAUAUUGGGCCUAAAGCGUCUGUAGCCUGUUCUCCAAGUCCUUGGUGAAAUCUGUUCGCUUAACGGAUAGAAUUGCUGAGGAAACUGUUGGACUCGAGGCCGGGAAACGUUAACGGAAUUUCUGGGGUAACGGUGAAAUGUUAUAAUCCUAGAAGGACCACCAGUAGCGAAGGCGGUUAACGGGAACGGACCUGACGGUGAGAGACGAAAGCUAGGGGAGCGACCCGGAUUAGAUACCCGGUUAGUCCUAGCCGUAAACGAUGUGGACUAGGUGUUCUAAUACCUACGUGGUAUGGGAGUGCCGAAGCGAAGGCAUUAAGUCCACCGCCUGGGAAGUACGAUCGCAAGGUUGAAACUUAAAGGAAUUGGCGGGGACGCACACUAGGGGUGGAUGCUGUGGUUUAAUUGAACACAACGCCCGGAAACUCACCAGGGCCGACAGCAGAAUGAUGGACAGUCUGAAGGGCUUUCCUGACGCGCUGAGAGGUAUUGUAUGGCCAUCUUCAGCUCGUACUACGAAGCGUCCUGUCAACUCAGGCAACGGGCGAGACCCAUGUCAUUAGUUGCUAGCUAUUUUUUCGAAAGUAGCGCACUCUAAUGAGACUGCCGAGGUAACUUGGAGGAAGGAAUGGGCAACGGUAGGUCUGUAUGGUCCGAAUGCCCUGGGCUACACGCGGCAUACAAUGGUUGACACAAUGAGCUCCGACUCCGUGAGGAGAAGGUAAUCCCCUAAAUUCAACCUUAGUUUGGAUUGAGCGUUGCAAUUCACGCUCAUGAAAAUGGAAUCCUCAGUAAUCGCGCUUCAUCAUAGCGCGGUGAAAAAGUCCCUGCGUCUUGCACACACCGCCCAUCAAGCCAGCCGAGUGAGGCUUAGAUGAGGCUUUUUUUGAGAAGAAGAAGUCGAUUCUGAGUCCUGCAAGGGGGGCUAAGUUGUAACAAGGUG
This 1452-nucleotide ribosomal RNA is filed under the name metagenome. RNAcentral's name for it is "bacterial SSU rRNA". It matches the Rfam family "Archaeal small subunit ribosomal RNA". The record is from RNAcentral.